Drosophila biarmipes is the source of this 761-nucleotide long non-coding RNA. RefSeq lists it as uncharacterized. Lineage: Eukaryota; Metazoa; Arthropoda; Insecta; Diptera; Drosophilidae. The transcript is spliced from 3 exons. The record is from RefSeq and is a predicted model, not a curated record.
AAAAAAAAUGACGAAUAAAGACACUCAUCCAAACCGAUGGGUGUGCUUGUGUGUGUAUCCCAGGUCUUCUAUCCCAAAACUUCUGUAUGGCGAAAUACUCACGGACUUUUGUGCGCUGCAUGCUAAACAGUUUUUAGAAACACACCAAAGUCGGCAAUUGAAAAAUAAAACCAACCCGAAAAAGACAUAAAAUCCGGCGGAGGAGAGCUAUUCCCGGCCAGCACGCGAGCGGGCUGUCCGUGGAGCAUAAAUUGCCAGAGAAACAUUGUGGAACACGCCCAUUUGCAAAAUAAUUAUACGCCUCUGGAUAGAAACACACCAAGGAGCUAAGGAGUGGGUCCAAAUUAAAUCAACAAGCACAAACGUGGCCUUUUGGCCAAAUACGAGUACGCCCACCGCAGAACGCAAACUUUUCAACGCCGCAAAAUAUGAAGCAUUAAUAUUCACGCCCAUGUUAAAAGCACAUAAAUAGGCGUGGCAUGCCAGCAGCACUUCCGCUUGGCCCGGCCUGCCAUUUAUGCUUUCCCAGUUUUCCCAGCUUUUCCCGCCCCCGAGAGUUGCAUACAAUUUUCCAGCAAAGCCCAUUAACCCGGCCAGUAGACAAUUGGUAGAGGAAAACUGCUUACGAGCAAACCAUGUUCUACAUUAAAGUUUUAACGAUGGGUUGUUAAACUCUUUAAAAUAAUAUUUUAUUGUUUAGGAAAUUAUAUUUAUAUUAUUUUAAAAAGUGUUUAAAUAAAUGAGCAAAGUCGUAUUAUUAA